This 355-nucleotide ribosomal RNA is filed under the name uncultured delta proteobacterium. RNAcentral's name for it is "bacterial SSU rRNA". It matches the Rfam family "Bacterial small subunit ribosomal RNA", at positions 596 to 947 of the family's 1533-position model. Lineage: Bacteria; Deltaproteobacteria. The record is from RNAcentral.
GAAAGCCCGGGGCUUAACCCCGGAAGUGCAUUUGAUACUGUCAGGCUUGAGUAUGGCCAGAGGGAAGUGGAAUUCCUGGUGUAGAGGUGAAAUUCGUAGAUAUCAGGAGGAACACCGGUGGCGAAGGCGACUUCCUGGACCAAUACUGACGCUGAGGUGCGAAGGCGUGGGUAGCAAACAGGAUUAGAUACCCUGGUAGUCCACGCAGUAAACGUUGNUCACUAGGUGUAGCGGGUAUUGACCCCUGCUGUGCCGCAGUUAACGCAUUAAGUGANCCGCCUGGGGAGUACGGCCGCAAGGUUAAAACUCAAAGGAAUUGACGGGGGCCCGCACAANCGGUGGAACCAUGUGGUUU